AAGUCGUAACAAGGUUUCCGUAGGUGAACCUGCGGAAGGAUCAUUAAUGAUUGGUGGCUGUUGCUGACUAGUGUUUCUAGUAUGUGCACGCCACACCUUCAAUCCCACUUACACCUGUGCACCUUCUGUAAUAGAUCUAUGUGGAUACAGAGAUGUGAAAGUUUGCGCUCUCCUACUCUGUUGAAGCAGUCUACUACGUUUUUUUACACACACACAAUAGUCAUUGAAUGUAUUUUUUAUUCUUAUGAUAAAAACAACUUUCAACAACGGAUCUCUUGGCUCUC
RNAcentral lists this unclassified non-coding RNA (284 nucleotides) under Waitea circinata. RNAcentral describes it as "partial internal transcribed spacer region". The stretch from base 1 to 46 matches the Rfam family "Eukaryotic small subunit ribosomal RNA", at positions 1786 to 1831 of the family's 1831-position model. The record is from RNAcentral. Lineage: Eukaryota; Fungi; Basidiomycota; Agaricomycetes; Corticiales; Corticiaceae.